GACGAACGCUGGCGGCGUGCCUAAUACAUGCAAGUCGAGCGAAGGUUUUCUGGUGCUUGCACUAGAAAAACUUAGCGGCGAACGGGUGAGUAACACGUAAAGAACCUGCCUCAUAGACUGGGACAACUAUUGGAAACGAUAUCUAAUACCGGAUAACAGUAUUUCUCGCAUGAGAGAUAUUUAAAAGUUGGUUAUGCUAACACUAUGAGAUGGCUUUGCGGUGCAUUAGCUAGUUGGUGGGGUAAAGGCCCACCAAGGCGACGAUGCAUAGCCGACCUGAGAGGGUGAUCGGCCACACUGGGACUGAGACACGGCCCAGACUCCUACGGGAGGCAGCAGUAGGGAAUCUUCCGCAAUGGGCGAAAGCCUGACGGAGCAACGCCGCGUGAGUGAAGAAGGAUUUCGGUUCGUAAAGCUCUGUUGUUAGGGAAGAAUGGAUAUGUAGUAACUAUACAUGUAAGAGACGGUACCUAACCAGAAAGCCACGGCUAACUACGUG
This 499-nucleotide ribosomal RNA is filed under the name uncultured bacterium. Its description in RNAcentral is "partial 16S ribosomal RNA". It matches the Rfam family "Bacterial small subunit ribosomal RNA", at positions 28 to 507 of the family's 1533-position model. The record is from RNAcentral.